AUUCGUAUUGAGUUGAUCCUGGUCAGAUUGAACGCUGGCGGCAUGCCUUACACAUGCAAGUCGAACGGCAGCACGGGAGCAAUCCUGGUGGCGAGUGGCGAACGGGUGAGUAAUAUAUCGGAACGUGCCCAAUCGUGGGGGAUAACGCAGCGAAAGCUGUGCUAAUACCGCAUACGAUCUACGGAUGAAAGCGGGGGACUCAGCAAUGAGCCUCGCGCGAAUGGAGCGGCCGAUAUCAGAUUAGCUAGUUGGUGGGGUAAAGGCUCACCAAGGCGACGAUCUGUAGCUGGUCUGAGAGGACGACCAGCCACACUGGAACUGAGACACGGUCCAGACUCCUACGGGAGGCAGCAGUGGGGAAUUUUGGACAAUGGGCGCAAGCCUGAUCCAGCAAUGCCGCGUGCAGGAUGAAGGCCUUCGGGUUGUAAACUGCUUUUGUACGGAACGAAACGGUCCGCCUUAAUACGGUGGGCUAAUGACGGUACCGUAAGAAUAAG
Molecule: ribosomal RNA, 497 nt
Filed under: uncultured Rhodoferax sp.
Lineage: Bacteria; Pseudomonadati; Pseudomonadota; Betaproteobacteria; Burkholderiales; Comamonadaceae
Description: bacterial SSU rRNA
Rfam family: Bacterial small subunit ribosomal RNA
Source: RNAcentral